RNAcentral lists this ribosomal RNA (492 nucleotides) under uncultured bacterium. RNAcentral describes it as "partial 16S ribosomal RNA". It matches the Rfam family "Bacterial small subunit ribosomal RNA", at positions 29 to 507 of the family's 1533-position model. The record is from RNAcentral.
AGUGAACGCUGGCGGUAGGCCUAACACAUGCAAGUCGAACGGCAGCACAGUAAGAGCUUGCUCUUACGGGUGGCGAGUGGCGGACGGGGGAGGAAUACAUCGGAAUCUACUUUUUCGGGGGGGAUAAAGGAGGGGAACUUACGCUAAUACCGCAUACGACCUACGGGUGAAAGCAGGGGAUCUUUGGACCUUGCGCGAUUGAAUGAGGCGAUGUCGGAUUAGCUAGUUGGCGGGGUAAAGGCCCACCAAGGCGACGAUCCGUAGCUGGUCUGAGAGGAUGAUCAGCCACACUGGAACUGAGACACGGUCCAGACUCCUACGGGAGGCAGCAGUGGGGAAUAUUGGACAAUGGGCGCAAGCCUGAUCCAGCCAUACCGCGUGGGUGAAGAAGGCCUUCGGGUUGUAAAGCCCUUUUGUUGGGAAAGAAAAGCAGCAGGUUAAUACCCCGCUGUUCUGACGGUACCCAAAGAAUAAGCUCCGGCUAACUUCGUG